GAUGAACGCUGGCGGCGUGCCUAAUACAUGCAAGUCGAGCGAACGGACGAGAAGCUUGCUUCUCUGCUGUUAGCGGCGGACGGUUGAGUAACACGUGUAUAACCUACCUAUAAGUCUUUUAUAACUUCGGGAAACCUUAUCUAAUACCGGCUAAUAUUUUUAACCGCAUUGUUCAAAAGUGAAAUACGUUCUUUCUGUCACUUAUAGAUGCUUCCGCGCUGCAUUAGCUAGUUGGUAAGGUAACGGCUUACCAAGGCAACGAUGCAUAGACGACCUGAGAGGGAGAUCGGCGACACAGGAAGUGAGACACGGUACAGAGGACUAGGGGAGGGAGCAGGAGGGAAUAUGCCGCAAAGGGGGAAAGCAGGACGAAGAAAAGACACGUGAGAGAUGAAGGUAGUCGGAUCGGAAAACUGAGUUAUGAGGGAAGAAAAUAUGGGAAAGAAAAUGUGCACAUAUGGACGUUACCUAAUGAGAAAGCAACGGCUAACUACGUG
Molecule: ribosomal RNA, 497 nt
Filed under: uncultured bacterium
Lineage: Bacteria
Description: partial 16S ribosomal RNA
Rfam family: Bacterial small subunit ribosomal RNA
Source: RNAcentral